RNAcentral lists this ribosomal RNA (340 nucleotides) under uncultured bacterium. RNAcentral's name for it is "partial 16S ribosomal RNA". It matches the Rfam family "Bacterial small subunit ribosomal RNA", at positions 338 to 675 of the family's 1533-position model. The record is from RNAcentral.
CCUACGGGAGGCAGCAGUGAGGAAUAUUGGUCAAUGGACGCGAGUCUGACCCAGCCAAGUAGCGUGAAGGAUGACUGCCCUCUGGGUUGUAAACUUCUUUUAUAUGGGAAUGAAAUGUUCCACGUGUGGGAUUUUGUCUGUACCUUAUGAAUAAGGAUCGGCUAACUCCGUGCCAGCAGCCGCGGUAAUACGGAGGAUCCGAGCGUUAUCCGGAUUUAUUGGGUUUAAGGGGAGCGUAGGUGGAUUGUUAAGUCAGUUGUGAAAGUUUGCGGCUCAACCGUAAAAUUGCAGUUUAAACUGGCAGUCUUGAGGAAAGUAGAGGUGGGCGGAAUUCGUGGGG